RNAcentral lists this ribosomal RNA (423 nucleotides) under uncultured bacterium. RNAcentral's name for it is "bacterial SSU rRNA". It matches the Rfam family "Bacterial small subunit ribosomal RNA", at positions 29 to 498 of the family's 1533-position model. The record is from RNAcentral.
AACGAACGCUGGCGGCAUGCCUAACACAUGCAAGUCGAACGAGACCUUCGGGUCUAGUGGCGCACGGGUGCGUAACACGUGGGAAUCUGCCCUUCGGUUCGGAAUAACACAGAGAAAUUUGUGCUAAUACCGGAUGAUGACUUCGGUCCAAAGAUUUAUCGCCGAGGGAUGAGCCCGCGUAGGAUUAGGUAGUUGGUGGGUAAUGGCCUACCAAGCCGACGAUCCUUAGCUGGUCUGAGAGGAUGAUCAGCCACACUGGGACUGAGACACGGCCCAGACUCCUACGGGAGGCAGCAGUGGGGAAUAUUGGACAAUGGGCGCAAGCCUGAUCCAGCAAUGCCGCGUGAGUGAUGAAGGCCUUAGGGUUGUAAAGCUCUUUUACCAGGGAUGAUAAUGACAGUACCUGGAGAAUAAGCUCCGGCU